CCUUGCCUCCUUCUGGAAGGUAGGAAGAUAGAGAGUGAUCCAUGAUCUCCCCAACCGUCCUAGCUCUUACAGUGGAUCUACGUGGGGGAGCCUCCAUCCAGCUCACCUCUCAGGAGCACCUCCACGUAUAUCUGCAAUGGUAACAUGUCUAGGUGAAGGGAAUAGCCAUAAUAAGUUCAGCGUAUGAAAGGUAUUUUCCUUUUAUCUUGUAUUCUUAUUUACACAAUUUUGUGUGUCUUAUGGGUUAUGUAAAGGAACAUGUUUAUGGGGUGAAUAAACCCUAUUAAUAUACAGUAUCAGGACUACAUAGUCCUAUAAUAUUCUAAGUGCCGUUAUUAAGACAACCUAAAAGUAUAAUGAACAAGUAGUUGAUACACAUAAAAACUGAAUGUUCACAUAAAAACAAAA
This is a long non-coding RNA of Spea bombifrons (plains spadefoot toad), 408 nucleotides long. RefSeq lists it as uncharacterized. Lineage: Eukaryota; Metazoa; Chordata; Amphibia; Anura; Pelobatidae. The transcript has 2 exons. The record is from RefSeq and is a predicted model, not a curated record.